ACACUCCUGCGGGAGGCAGCAGUGGGGAAUUUUGGACAAUGGGCGAAAGCCUGAUCCAGCAAUGCCGCGUGCAGGAUGAAGGCCUUCGGGUUGUAAACUGCUUUUGUACGGAACGAAAAAGCUCCUUCUAACACAGGGGGCCCAUGACGGUACCGUAAGAAUAAGCACCGGCUAACUACGUGCCAGCAGCCGCGGUAAUACGUAGGGUGCGAGCGUUAAUCGGAAUUACUGGGCGUAAAGCGUGCGCAGGCGGUUAUGUAAGACAGAUGUGAAAUCCCCGGGCUCAACCUGGGAACUGCAUUUGUGACUGCAUGGCUAGAGUACGGUAGAGGGGGAUGGAAUUCCGCGUGUAGCAGUGAAAUGCGUAGAUAUGCGGAGGAACACCGAUGGCGAAGGCAAUCCCCUGGACCUGUACUGACGCUCAUGCACGAAAGCGUGGGGAGCAAACAGGAUUAGAUACCCCGGUAGUCCCAUGA
RNAcentral lists this ribosomal RNA (476 nucleotides) under uncultured organism. RNAcentral describes it as "partial 16S ribosomal RNA". It matches the Rfam family "Bacterial small subunit ribosomal RNA", at positions 333 to 800 of the family's 1533-position model. The record is from RNAcentral.